Molecule: ribosomal RNA, 253 nt
Filed under: uncultured bacterium
Lineage: Bacteria
Description: partial 16S ribosomal RNA
Rfam family: Bacterial small subunit ribosomal RNA
Source: RNAcentral
UACGGGGGGGGCAAGCGUUGUUCGGAAUUACUGGGCGUAAAGGGCGCGUAGGUGGCCAACUAAGUCAGACGUGAAAUCCCUCGGCUUAACCGGGGAACUGCGUCUGAUACUGGAUGGCUUGAGUUCGGGAGAGGGAUGCGGAAUUCCAGGUGUAGCGGUGAAAUGCGUAGAUAUCUGGAGGAACACCGGUGGCGAAGGCGGCAUCCUGGACCGACAUUGACGCUGAGGCGCGAAAGCCAGGGGAGCAAACGGG